GACGAACGCUGGCGGCGUGCUUAACACAUGCAAGUCGAGCGAUGAACCACCUUCGGGUGCGGAUUAGCGGCGAACGGGUGAGGAACACGUGAGGAACCUGCCCAUCACUCUGGGAUAACUCCGGGAAACCGGGGCUAAUACCGGAUAUUUUCAACUGGCGGCAUCGCUGGUUGAAGAAAGUUUUUCGGUGAUGGAUGGCCUCGCGGCCUAUCAGCUAGUUGGUGAGGUAAUGGCUCACCAAGGCAACGAC
This 250-nucleotide ribosomal RNA is filed under the name uncultured bacterium. Its description in RNAcentral is "partial 16S ribosomal RNA". It matches the Rfam family "Bacterial small subunit ribosomal RNA", at positions 28 to 280 of the family's 1533-position model. The record is from RNAcentral.